UGUCCGUUUCGGGACUCGACCG
RNAcentral lists this microRNA (22 nucleotides) under Apis mellifera (honey bee). Its description in RNAcentral is "ame-miR-3753-5p". Lineage: Eukaryota; Metazoa; Arthropoda; Insecta; Hymenoptera; Apidae. The record is from miRBase by way of RNAcentral.